This 253-nucleotide ribosomal RNA is filed under the name uncultured bacterium. RNAcentral describes it as "partial 16S ribosomal RNA". It matches the Rfam family "Bacterial small subunit ribosomal RNA", at positions 524 to 776 of the family's 1533-position model. The record is from RNAcentral.
UACAGAGGGUGCAAGCGUUAUUCGGAAUCACUGGGCGUAAAGAGUUCGUAGGCGGUUUGUUAAGUUUAAUGUGAAAGCCCCAGGCUCAAUCUGGGAAGUGCAUUAGAUACUGGCAAACUGGAGUGCAGGAGAGGAGAGCGGAAUUCCAGGUGUAGAGGUGAAAUUCGUAGAUAUCUGGAGGAACAACAGAGGCGAAGGCGGCUCUCUGGACUGUCACUGACGCUGAGGAACGAAAGCGUGGGGAGCAAACAGG